This 469-nucleotide ribosomal RNA is filed under the name Streptococcus mutans. Its description in RNAcentral is "bacterial SSU rRNA". It matches the Rfam family "Bacterial small subunit ribosomal RNA", at positions 28 to 471 of the family's 1533-position model. Lineage: Bacteria; Bacillati; Bacillota; Bacilli; Lactobacillales; Streptococcaceae. The record is from RNAcentral.
GACGAACGCUGGCGGCGUGCCUAAUACAUGCAAGUGGGACGCAAGGGAACACACUGUGCUUGCACACCGUGUUUUCUUGAGUCGCGAACGGGUGAGUAACGCGUAGGUAACCUGCCUAUUAGCGGGGGAUAACUAUUGGAAACGAUAGCUAAUACCGCAUAAUAUUAAUUAUUGCAUGAUAAUUGAUUGAAAGAUGCAAGCGCAUCACUAGUAGAUGGACCUGCGUUGUAUUAGCUAGUUGGUAAGGUAAGAGCUUACCAAGGCGACGAUACAUAGCCGACCUGAGAGGGUGAUCGGCCACACUUGGACUGAGACACGGCCCAGACUCCUACGGGAGGCAGCAGUAGGGAAUCUUCGGCAAUGGACGAAAGUCUGACCGAGCAACGCCGCGUGAGUGAAGAAGGUUUUCGGAUCGUAAAGCUCUGUUGUAAGUCAAGAACGUGUGUGAGAGUGGAAAGUUCACACAGUG